GUGUUGUAUGAAAGGAGAGAAGAUCAGCACUCCCCUUGAAAAGGAUGGAAGAGGCCCUUAUGGCCUAUACAAAAUUCAUACAGUUAAGGCACUGCCAUCUAUUUAGUGGCAUCUAACCAUGUUUAA
This 126-nucleotide non-coding RNA is filed under the name Cyanistes caeruleus (blue tit). Lineage: Eukaryota; Metazoa; Chordata; Aves; Passeriformes; Paridae. The record is from RNAcentral.